AUUCCGGUUGAUCCUGCCGGAGGACAUUGCUAUUGGGAUUCGAUUUAGCCAUGCUAGUCGAACGAGUUCAGACUCGUGGCGAAUAGCUCAGUAACACGUGGCCAAGCUCCCCUUCAGUCAGCGAUACCCUCGGGAAACUGAGGUUAACAGCUGAUACAAAACGCCAGCUGGAAUGCGGCGUUUCAGAAAGACAUCGCUGAAGGAUGCGGCUGCGGCCGAUUAGGUAGACGGUGGGGUAACGGCCCACCGUGCCAGUAAUCGGUACGGGUGAUGAGAGUCAGAGCCCGGAGACGGAAUCUGAGACAAGAUUCCGGGCCCUACGGGGCGCAGCAGGCGCGAAACCUUUACACUGCACGGAAGUGCGAUAGGGGAAUCCCAAGUGCGAGGGCAUAUUAGCCCUCGCUUUUCUCGACUGUAAGGUGGUCGACGAAUAAGAGCUGGGCAAGACCGGUGCCAGCCGCCGCGGUAAUACCGGCAGCUCAAGUGAUGUCCCAUAUUAUUGGGGCCUAAAGCGUCCGUAGCU
RNAcentral lists this ribosomal RNA (523 nucleotides) under uncultured haloarchaeon. RNAcentral's name for it is "bacterial SSU rRNA". It matches the Rfam family "Archaeal small subunit ribosomal RNA", at positions 1 to 526 of the family's 1478-position model. Lineage: Archaea; Methanobacteriati; Methanobacteriota; Halobacteria; Halobacteriales; Halobacteriaceae. The record is from RNAcentral.